CAAAGUGUCUCUUGCAGUGAGGAGUCGGUGUUUGCUUCAGGCCCUGGGCUCUGUCAGCCCUAGGCCUGGCCUCCACUGCAGUACUGAGCCAAAACAGGUAUCCUCAGUCAGGCCUCAGCUUUGUUUGCUGAACCGGAGCUCCCUGAGCUCCGUGAUGGGGGCCAGUUUUCAGCUGACCUUCUCUUUUUUUUUUUUUUUUUUUUUCUUUUUCUUUUUUUCGGAGCUGGGGACCGAACCCAGGCCCUUGCGCUUGCUAGUCAAGUGCUCUACCACUGAGCUAAAUCCCCAACCCCCAGCUGACCUUCUCUUACACCCCCUCAAUAUGACAAAAAAAAAAAA
Molecule: long non-coding RNA, 339 nt
Filed under: Rattus norvegicus (Norway rat)
Lineage: Eukaryota; Metazoa; Chordata; Mammalia; Rodentia; Muridae
Description: long non-coding RNA NONRATT010681
Source: RNAcentral